Long non-coding RNA from Sapajus apella (tufted capuchin), 745 nucleotides. RefSeq lists it as uncharacterized. Lineage: Eukaryota; Metazoa; Chordata; Mammalia; Primates; Cebidae. The transcript has 3 exons. The record is from RefSeq and is a predicted model, not a curated record.
CCACGAAGUUGAUCUUCAAAAAAAUGGAAUUUACUCUGGCAUGCUCCUAUGUAUGACACCUUUCCAAGGCCAAAUCCCAAGAGACCAGCAACUGCAACUUUGGGCAAUGAUCCAAAUCUAGGAUUAGCUGCCAAAUAACCUAAGGAGUAAUACAGAAAUACACUAUGAUUCAAUUCUCAGUUGACUUUAACUCCCAGAUAGUCAUUUUAGGUAAAUUACAAAUAUCAGCUUUAAUGUGUAGAAAAAUAAUAUGAAACAGAAAAUUCAAGACUGAUUCAAAGACAUCAAGCAAAGGUAGGGCUAACAACAGUGUUCAAAGACAUUAGUCAUCCUCUUUCCCUUUUAAACAACUCAACAUAGAAAGUUUCCAUGUGCACAUUCACAUAUCACUAUUUUACAAUGCAAACAGUACAACUCAUGGUAGUUAGAACAAUGGCCUUCUAGAGAUACCCAAGUCCGAAUUCCUGGAAAAGGUGAUAUAUUAUGUCACAAAAUGGGGAUUAGGUGGAAAAUGGAACUAAUGUUGCUAAUCAGAUAACUUUAGAGAGAGGAUCCGGGUGGGUCCAAUGUGAUCCUUCAGUGUGGAAGAGGAAACUGGUGAUGGAACAGAGAGAUGGCAGCAAGAGAAGAACUUGGCUCAAUGUUGUGGACUUUACGGUCAUAGGAAGGGGCCAUCGGUUAAGAAAUAUGGGUGGGUCUAGAAGCUGGAAAGGAAAAGUAAGCCCAAGAGCCUUCAGAAGGAACA